CAAAAACAUGUCUUUUUGAUUAUAAUUUAAAGUCUAACCCGCCCAAUGAGGAGUUAAAUGGCCGCGGUAUUUUGACCGUGCAAAGGUAGCAUAAUCAUUAGUUUUUUAAUUGAAAGCUGGUAUGAAUGGUUGGACGAGAAAAUAACUGUCUCGAUUUAAAUUAAAUUAGAAUUUUAUUUAUGAGUAAAAAAGCUCAUAUGAGUUUAAAAGACGAGAAGACCCUAUAGAAUUUAAUAUAUAUAUAUAUAUAUUAUUUUUAGAAUUAAUAAUAAGUUAUAUAUAAUUGUAUUUUGUUGGGGUGAUAGAAAAAUUAAAUUAACUUUUUUUAUAUAAAAACAUUAAUGUAUGAAAAAGUGAUCCGUUAAUUACGAUUAUAAGAUUAAAUUACCUUAGGGAUAACAGCGUAAUUUUUUUUUAGAGUUCUUAUCGAAAAAAGAGUUUGCGACCUCGAUGUUGGAUAAAAAUUAACUUUUGGUGUAGGGGCU
RNAcentral lists this ribosomal RNA (485 nucleotides) under Xylotrupes gideon. RNAcentral describes it as "partial large subunit ribosomal RNA". It matches the Rfam family "Bacterial large subunit ribosomal RNA", at positions 1808 to 2563 of the family's 2925-position model. Lineage: Eukaryota; Metazoa; Arthropoda; Insecta; Coleoptera; Scarabaeidae. The record is from RNAcentral.